RNAcentral lists this long non-coding RNA (1008 nucleotides) under Corvus moneduloides (New Caledonian crow). RNAcentral's name for it is "lncRNA (ENSCMUG00000019479.1)". The record is from RNAcentral. Lineage: Eukaryota; Metazoa; Chordata; Aves; Passeriformes; Corvidae.
CUCUAAUGACAGUAAUUUAUAAGGCAGUGUUUAUUAAAAAUGAAAAUAUUUUUUAAAUUAUGUCAGUUAAAAACCCCCAAAACAUGGGAAUUACGUGCUCAUCUAUCAUCACUUUUCCUCUUCUAUUCCACAAUCCUGCUCUAGUACUGGUGUGAUACUCUGCCACUGGCCCUACUUUGAAAGGAGACAUUGAAGACCUGCUUGAAAGGUGUUCAAUGUCCAAAAAAAAAUCCACAUCAAACAAAAAAACCCCAAACACUUUCCCUUACCCCCAUCCCCAGUACAGGGAGCCACUCUGUGCUCUCAAGAGGCUUGGUUUCCUUGGUGAGACAUCCGAUGCCUUUGGUUUGCAUUGAGGGUUUCUUAAUGCAGUUGGGGUUUCUUAAAUUGCAGUGGCUGGGGAAGUAACUUGUGCCAGUUUAGAAAUGGUUGUUGAAUGCGAUUUUACAGUUACUGUUCUCACCGUUUUACAAAAUCCCACUGGGGUUAAUUAGUGCAAGGGAUAAAAAAGGGCAAAGAAGACUUAGAAAGCUUCCAGCACUGCAUUCAGUAUUGAUGGCUAAAAGUAUUGUGUUCCCCACAAGGGGAAUUGAUGUAAUUUCUCUGAACAUUCAGUGUUUGUAAUGUCUUUGGGUUGUUUUCUGCAGGAACUGGGCUCUCGCUUGAACAGCCAUUUUGUGCUGCCUAGGACUCCAUCAGUUGAGAGCAAAGCACUUUAUGAAAAACUCUGGCUUCACUGACCUCAGUGAGGAAAAAGUUUAAUCCCCUGCCUUUAGAGGAAGUCUCUCUUUGAUGAGAGUGCGGAACAAGGAUCAAAUCCAAGACCAACCAGACCAAACUAGAGGCACAACUGUUCCGCCGUCUAUUUUACCAGGACCAGCUUUUUAUCCACUUCUGCCUCUGUGUCAUCCUGAUGCUGCUCCGUUUUGUAGGAUAGACACAAUUCAGCUAUGGAAGAUGUCAUUGCCCAAAGAUAAUAAAAUUUUUUUAAUCUGAAACAUAAUUUUG